RNAcentral lists this ribosomal RNA (384 nucleotides) under Triticum aestivum (bread wheat). Its description in RNAcentral is "partial small subunit ribosomal RNA". Lineage: Eukaryota; Viridiplantae; Streptophyta; Magnoliopsida; Poales; Poaceae. The record is from RNAcentral.
AUGGUUUCGUGGAGCGACACCAGCGAGGAAUUGGGCUACGAGUACUCUUCAGGCGGCUCCCCUAUCAAGAUCCUGGCUACAAUUGAGGACCCGAACUACUCUGGUGUUGACGAUGAUGUGAUGGUGAUGUGUGAGCAUGGCCAGCCAGCGAAGAGGUUUGUUUUCUUCGAUGGGAUUAGCACUGAGAGGAGGUUCAUUGCUUGUGGACUUGAUGAAGCAAGCAAUUGUGGUGUUGUUCAGUGGGACAAUAUUCCCAAGGAAAAUGAAGUCCAACAAGGUGAACAUGAGGAGAUCACUCCUCAUUUGGACAAAAUGUCAGCUUUGAAGGAACAGUUGGGUGCAAUGGGAGCUGAGAACAAAGAACUGAAGGAAAAGGUUUACUAG